AGAGUUUGAUCAUGGCUCAGAUUGAACGCUGGCGGUAUGCUUAACACAUGCAAGUCGAACGGUAACAGGCCUUCGGGCGCUGACGAGUGGCGGACGGGUGAGUAACGCGUAGGAAUCUGCCUCAUAGUGGGGGACAACGUGGGGAAACUCACGCUAAUACCGCAUACGCCCUACGGGGGAAAGCGGGGGGAUCUUCGGACCUCGCGCUAUGAGAUGAGCCUGCGUUAGAUUAGCUAGUUGGUAGGGUAAAGGCCUACCAAGGCGACGAUCUAUAGCUGGUCUGAGAGGACGAUCAGCCACACUGGGACUGAGACACGGCCCAGACUCCUACGGGAGGCAGCAGUGGGGAAUAUUGGACAAUGGGCGCAAGCCUGAUCCAGCAAUACCGCGUGUGUGAAGAAGGCCUUAGGGUUGUAAAGCACUUUCAAUUGGGAGGAAAACCUGCCGGUCAAUACCCGGUAGCUUGACAUUACCUUUAGAAGAAGCACCGGCUAACUCCGUG
RNAcentral lists this ribosomal RNA (502 nucleotides) under uncultured bacterium. RNAcentral's name for it is "bacterial SSU rRNA". It matches the Rfam family "Bacterial small subunit ribosomal RNA", at positions 8 to 507 of the family's 1533-position model. The record is from RNAcentral.